This 277-nucleotide ribosomal RNA is filed under the name Staphylococcus aureus. RNAcentral's name for it is "partial 16S ribosomal RNA". It matches the Rfam family "Bacterial small subunit ribosomal RNA", at positions 516 to 792 of the family's 1533-position model. The record is from RNAcentral. Lineage: Bacteria; Bacillati; Bacillota; Bacilli; Caryophanales; Staphylococcaceae.
CGCGGUAAUACGUAGGUGGCAAGCGUUAUCCGGAAUUAUUGGGCGUAAAGCGCGCGUAGGCGGUUUUUUAAGUCUGAUGUGAAAGCCCACGGCUCAACCGUGGAGGGUCAUUGGAAACUGGAAAACUUGAGUGCAGAAGAGGAAAGUGGAAUUCCAUGUGUAGCGGUGAAAUGCGCAGAGAUAUGGAGGAACACCAGUGGCGAAGGCGACUUUCUGGUCUGUAACUGACGCUGAUGUGCGAAAGCGUGGGGAUCAAACAGGAUUAGAUACCCUGGUA